This 834-nucleotide unclassified non-coding RNA is filed under the name Hevea brasiliensis (rubber tree). Lineage: Eukaryota; Viridiplantae; Streptophyta; Magnoliopsida; Malpighiales; Euphorbiaceae. The record is from RNAcentral.
CGCCAGCAGAAAGAAAGAUCCAACGUAAAUAUUACCAUAAAGAGUUGAACUAAGCAGAGGAAAUACAUUGAUUGCAAUCCCAAAAAAUAAUAUCAAUAAAAGCAAGAGAAAUGUAUAUGUAACAUUGAAUAUUUCAGUUCAAUAUCAAUUCAUCAACACUCAUGCUCUCCAUUUCACAGACUCAGCCUCUCCCUUUAACAUGCAAAUAAUCCUAAUUGCAUAAUAUUGAUUCCAACUCUUCGGGAGUACUGUAUAAAAGCCUCAUAAUUUCUUGCAUCUGUUCAAACGUAAAAGAUUACAACUCACCGAUCCAUCCAUGGAUACCAUUGCAGGAAAAGUAUGCAGUCCUCACUCUGAAACAGAAUGGGUUUAAAAAAAAAAAAAAGUUACUUGAAAACUCCUACUGGGAAAAAAUUGACAAAAAUUACUGCAGAACAAUAGCUACCAGAAACAUCUCAAGACACUGAUGAGAAAAUUAAACAAAUAGUUUUCCUCGUGGAGCAAUUCUUGACGAACCAAUCGCUCUAAGUUCAAGUUUCUUGGAAGAAGAUUACUGUAAUACAGUAAGGUUGUGACAGAGGCAGCUGGCUGCGACAUUAGUGCCAUCAGCAGCCUCACUAGUGACCUCAACAUCAAUGCCAUGACUUCAAGAAUGAGAAAGAUGAUCAGAUGAAUGAAGAGAAAUCACUGAGGUCAUGUUGAAGAUGGGAGAUUUUCUUUCUUUUUUCUUUUCCCCUGAUAGGGAGAGAGGAAGGGAAUUGACUUACCAGUAUGGUGCUCCACCAGGUUCAAAUUUCUUUACCUGCCAAUCCUCGUUAGCUCAGCUGAUGUUCA